CCGCUGCAGGGGCGGGCGGAGGCCGCCGCACUGCCUCCCGAACCGGGGACCCAGGCCAGCGUCCGGGCAACGCCCCCUGCUCCCGGACAGACUCCGUGGCCCGCCCGAGCCCUGGGGGCUCCGCAGACCCGCGCCCGCUCCGCCCGCAGCUCGGCCCCGCGCUGCCCGCGUCGCCGGGCCCGCGCCGGGAUGGGGUAGGGACAGCGCCACCGAGUCGGGCGAUGGGCCGCCCUCUGGGCACCGAGCAGCCCCCGGAGGCCUGACCAACCGCGAGGACCGGCGGAGGAGCCCCGCCUGGAUGUCAAGCGGAUGCCACAGGGCCCCCCCCAGCGGACUCCGUGGGGACAUGGCUUCGCUGGUGCCCCUUUCCCCAUAUCUAAGCCCCACGGUCCUUCUGCUGGUCAGCUGUGACCUGGGCUUCGUGCGAGCAGGUAAGUAAAGGGGAACGGGGCUGAGGAUCAACCACAGCUAGUAAAUGGGUGAAACCUGUUAAACACCCUGGCUCCCGCAGACCGGCCUCCCUCUCCUGUGAAUGUGACGGUCACUCACCUCAGAGCCAACUCGGCCACUGUGUCCUGGGACGUCCCAGAAGGCAACAUCGUCAUUGGCUACUCCAUUUCCCAGCAAGUAUGAAUCACCCUUCUGCUUCCCCCAGCCUGUGUCCUUGGAUUUCUGCACAUUUCUUCACUUAAGUGGGGGGGAUCUGGAAGCUGGCGUAUCCUGGCUCAGGCUGCCCUUUUCACGCUACUCCCCCGGAGUGCUUGGAUGUUGAAGAGUCUCUGGUUGAGCCUUGUGGCCUGGCACUGGGGUGAGGCUGUCCUCCUCUCCCCUCAUCUCUCUGCAGCGGCAGAAUGGCCCCGGGCAGCGUGUGAUUCGGGAGGUGAACACCACCACCCGGGCCUGUGCCCUCUGGGGCCUGGCUGAAGACAGUGACUACACAGUGCAGGUCAGGAGCAUCGGCCUUCGGGGAGAGAGUCCCCCAGGGCCUCGGGUGCACUUCCGAACUCUCAAGGGUUCUGACCGGCUACCUUCAAACAGCUCAAGCCCAGGUGACAUCACAGUGGAAGGUCUGGAUGGAGAGCGGCCACUGCAGACUGGGGAAGUGGUCAUCAUUGUGGUGGUGUUGCUCAUGUGGGCUGAAAAAGUCUCCAUCUAUCAACACCAUCGAUGUUUGAGUGAAGAAACACACCCAGAAGAGAGAUGCACUAACAACUGGGGAUGGGGAUGGGGUCAGGGAGAGCCCAAGAUGGUGAUCUGCCCGAGACUCCCAGAGGGUAAUGCCACUCCCACAAUCUCAGGCCUGGUACCCAUCCUCUUUCCACUGUGAGCAGAGCCAGAAGGUAGGUCUGUUCAGAGUCUGUGCCCCUGGACCUGGGGAGUGGAUAUCAGAUGGGAUAUCUCCUUCCAUUCCGCGGUCCAGGGGAGAGUCACUUGUUGUACCCUACUCCAUUAGGUCCCAAAUGGGGGCCCCAUUUCACCUGUAUCAGGACUCUGAGCAUCCCCAGCUGCCCCACAUCUUGCCUCUGGGCCUCAGAGAGGGGUGUUUCUGUGGGUACUCCUCUUACCCCAGCAAAUAAAAGGAAUUGUCUGACCCUAGAGGCAGAUGCUGCACUGCACUACUCCAAUGUCUUCCAUGGAGCCUCAGGUGCUCCCCCUCUCACCUGGCAGCCCCUUCAGCUGCUAGUGAUCUCACUCGUUGGACAUUUUUCCAAUAAAG
Molecule: small RNA, 1717 nt
Filed under: Pongo abelii (Sumatran orangutan)
Lineage: Eukaryota; Metazoa; Chordata; Mammalia; Primates; Hominidae
Description: retained intron
Source: RNAcentral